AAAAAGUUAGUUUAAAAAACAAUAGUUUGUCAAACUAUAGAUAUUAAUUUAUUAAUACUUUUUA
This 64-nucleotide transfer RNA is filed under the name Ochterus marginatus. RNAcentral's name for it is "tRNA-Asp". It matches the Rfam family "tRNA". Rfam says of the family: Transfer RNA (tRNA) molecules are approximately 80 nucleotides in length. Their secondary structure includes four short double-helical elements and three loops (D, anti-codon, and T loops). Lineage: Eukaryota; Metazoa; Arthropoda; Insecta; Hemiptera; Ochteridae. The record is from RNAcentral.